Molecule: long non-coding RNA, 257 nt
Filed under: Elaeis guineensis (African oil palm)
Lineage: Eukaryota; Viridiplantae; Streptophyta; Magnoliopsida; Arecales; Arecaceae
Description: long non-coding RNA (EGUI_LNC005041)
Source: RNAcentral
CCAUUCUGAUACCACUCACUAGAAGAAGAUGACAGAACCAAUAAAAACGACAUAUAGUCAGCCAUUAGAGUUGUGUCGUUUUUUUGAAAAACAUUGUCGUUACAAAAGAUCUGCUUCCAUUCAUCACAAGAGAAGUUUCGAGCAGGUUGUGAAGGAUUGGUACUGCUCCCCAUAGUGACAGCUAAUCAGGCACUGGAACUGUGUCGUUUACUCAUAAAAUGUUGUCGUAUGAUAUAUAUUUGCUUCCAUUCCCUGCA